GUGCCAGCGCCGCGGUAACACGGGGGACGCAAGCGUUAUUCGGAAUUAUUGGGCGUAAAGGGCGUGUAGGCGGUCUUAUCGGUCAGAUGUGAAAGCCCAGGGCUCAACCCUGGACGUGCAUUUGAAACAGUAAGACUUGAGUACUGGAGAGGAAAGCGGAAUUCCUGGUGUAGAGGUGAAAUUCGUAGAUAUCAGGAGGAACACCGAUGGCGAAGGCAGCUUUCUGGACAGAAACUGACGCUGAUACACGAAAGCGUGGGUAGCAAACAGGAUUAGAUACCCUGGUAGUCCACGCUGUAAACGAUGAUCACUAGAUGUUGGCCUUGAUUUUUCGAGGUCAGUGUCGCAGCUAACGCGUUAAGUGAUCCGCCUGGGAACUACGGUCGCAAGACUAAAACUCAAAGGAAUUGACGGGGAUCCGCACAAGCGGUGGAACAUGUGGUUUAAUUCGACAAAUACGCGAGGAACCUUUACCUGGGCUUGACAU
RNAcentral lists this ribosomal RNA (487 nucleotides) under uncultured delta proteobacterium. RNAcentral describes it as "bacterial SSU rRNA". It matches the Rfam family "Bacterial small subunit ribosomal RNA", at positions 505 to 987 of the family's 1533-position model. The record is from RNAcentral. Lineage: Bacteria; Deltaproteobacteria.